Molecule: long non-coding RNA, 2118 nt
Organism: Scylla paramamosain (green mud crab)
Lineage: Eukaryota; Metazoa; Arthropoda; Malacostraca; Decapoda; Portunidae
Exons: 2
Source: RefSeq, a predicted model, not a curated record
UAUUUCUUUACAACUACUCAGGCUAGAGAUGUUUUGAUAUUGUGAAUAUUAAUUAAACUAAUUGUCAAGUUAGAAAAUAGAAUGCAUUCCAGCCUAGCUUCAUUUUUUCUAAGGGUCAAUUUCAAAAUGAAAUACGUUACGUACGUAAGCCAGCGGCCAGGAGGCAGUUCGCCUGUGACGUCAUCAACGGCCGGGGACUUGCCCGGCUUCAGUGUCUCUUGCUCAAUAUUUACCGUAAUUUGCAGUGUUUUCCAAGUAUUUCCAGCUGUUUCUAAACUCAGGCGUGUAGAUAGUAGUAGUAGAAAGAGGAAAAUAAGAGAAAUGGAGCAAGAGCAGCAAGAAAUAAAGAGAAAUGAAAGAGGAGAAGGAGGUCAAACACAUAAACGGUAAGAAGACAAUCUUUGGUUUAGUUUCCCUUGCUGCGCUGCCAUUCUCUGUAAUAUUUGGUGUGUUUUGGGUCCUUCAAGUGUGUUGUGGGAGUAUUUAGGAGAGCUGUGGGGUGUUUUGAGUGUCUUAGGUGUGUUUAGGAGAGUUUUGGGUUUAUAUUAGCUGUUAUCAGUGUGUUUUGGGUCAAUUUUUGGUGUUUAAAUGUGGUUUAGGUUGUUUUUAGGUGUACUUUACGUGUUUUGAGUGUUGUGGAGUGUUUUCAGUGUAUUGUGGGGUGUUUAGGUGUGUUUGGGGAUAUAUCGAGGUAUUGAGAGUGUGUCCUGAGUUUAUUUUGGAUGUUUUAGGUGUUUUAGGUGAGUCUGGGUGUGUGUGUGGGGUAUUCUGGGUGCGUUUGGGUGUGUUAAAGGCGUAUUCUGUGGUGAUGUGGGUGUUUUGGAUGUUUCAAGCGUGUUUUGGGUGUGUUUGGAUGUGUUUUGUGGGUAUUUUGGUGUGUUUUGGGUGUGCUUUGGAUGUUUUGAGUGUGUUUGGUUGAGUUUUCUGGAGAUUUUUGGGUGUUGUGAGUGUUUUGAGUGUGUUUUUGGAUGUUUUGAGUGUGUUUUGGAUGUGUUUGGGUGAGUUUUGCGCUCUCUAAUUCCUAGAGACUCAAAAAGUGCAGGACAUUUUUUUAAUGUUUUGAGUGUGUUUUGGAUGUGUUUGGGUGAGUUUUGCUCUCUCUCCUUCCUAGAGACUCAAAAAGUGCAGGACAUUUCAAGGUUUAUAAUGUGUUUUAUAAAAUAUAACUACUGAGACAGAGAGAGAGAGAGAGAGAGAGAGAGAGAGAGAGAGAGAGAGAGAGAGAGAGAGAGAGAGAGAGAGAGAGAGAGAGAGAGAGAGAGAGAGAGAGAGAGAGAGAGAGAGAGAGAGAGAGAGAGAGAGAGAACUAGCAUUAAUACACACAUACACACAAACAAAUGCACUCAAACAUUCAAAUUUCCCACACUUUUCCAACCCCAAGGAAGGAGAGAGCGCGACACAAGACGGAACAUCCUACAAAGCCUAACAUUUAUUCCAAUAUUACAGGAUGGAGAGCUUAGGAUACCACACGGAGGGGGUGAAGGAGCCUUGGGGAUGCCUGAAGGAGGGACAGUGAAGGAGGGAGGCCUGGAGGUGAACGGAAUGCAGAAAAUUCCUUCAAUACGGAACGCUUCUCUGGUCAGACCAUCCUUUACUUAAUAUAUGGACCCAGGCUUCGAGAUACGAGGAUGGAGAGCUUAGGAUACCACACGGGGGGGUGAAGGAGCCUUGGGGAUGCCUGAAGGAUAUAAAGUGAAGGAGGGAGGCCUGGAGAUGAACGAAAUGCAGAAAAUUUCUUCAAUACGGAAUGCUUCUCUGGUCAGACCAUCCUUCACUGAAUAUAAGAACAUAAGAAAUAAGGGAAGUUGCAAGAAGCGACCAGGCUUACACGUGGCAGUCCCUGUAUGAAACACACCUACCUAUUUCCAUCUUUUAUCCCCAUCCAUAAACUUGUCUAAUCUUCUCUUAAAGCUCUCUAGUCUCCUAGCACUAACUACAUGAUUACUGAGUCCGUUCCACUCAUCUACCACUCUAUUUGAGAAACAAUUUUUUCCUAUCUCCUUCCUAAACCUAAAUUUUUUAAGCUUGAACCCGUUAUUUCUUGUUCUACCCUGGUUGCUGAUCCUAAGACUUUUGCUUACAUCUCCAUUGUUAUAACCCUUAUACCACUUAAAGACU